UAGAGACGUUGGUGCGAUCUCCAAUGGGUGAUUUAUACAUGAAUGGCGCGAGUGUGAAGUUUCUGUGUGGGGUGAUGUAAGGUAAUAUGCUGUAUAUACUGUAGGUAUACCUACUUCGUGAGUCCCGGACAAAAAUCUAGCAAUAGCAUCCCUAAGGUGCGUACAUCAUAAAAAUAUAGUUUUUAAUUGGAAAACGUUCCGAGACCCGCUAACGGGCCUCAGAACGUCGCAUCGGGUCUCGGAUAGUCGAUGUCACUUCCAAAAACGGGCCUGUAUAACCUGUAGCAAACCUAUACUUCUAUAAACAGCAAUUUUUCACAUGCCUACUUCGUUUUUUUGGUAUCAUUUUAAUGUUUUUAAACGUGUAUUUAUGUUGGUGAAAUGCCUGUUUUUGAUAGAAAAAUUGUGUCAUGCAUUGCCUUAUAUGUAUAUUAACAGUUGAAAAUAAUAAAAUGUCGUGAAUUUUUUAAUUCGUCAUUUGUCAUUUGAUACAUUAUGUUGUCAUUGGAGUACCUUUACCUUUUAUGUCGGGGUAAGCUCUUUAUUGUCAGGAAUUUACAAUUUAGUCGUGGUAACGAUUUUUCUGGCGUGAAAGUGCCUAUGCUUGUCGUGCUGACGCCCUUUUUUGUCGUGGUAUUAAAUCACACCCUUUGUUUUUCUUAGCUUGAAUAAUGCUUUGAGAGAGUAUGUUGAAUUCAUCGGUACCAUACUAAUCCUUGGAUGUUUUUGCUAUAGCAUCGCUGUACUGUAUGUCACAGCUUCAAAUGAUAUGCCUUGGGCACUGACAAUGAAAUGUAUAUUUGGGUAUAUGGGCCCUUGUAACUUGGUAUUUCUACUCUACUGGAUUGGACAACACUUGGAUAACUCGGUAUCUGAUGUAACUCUCGCAGUCUAUAAUGCUCCGUGGUAUCGAUCAGUGAAAAUACGAAAGAUGGUACAUAUCUUCAUGUGUCAAACACAAAAUGUGCGGCUUUUUGCUGUACUCAGCGUGUACGAAUUGCUGUUGAGUAAUUUUUCGCGGUAUUUACGUGGUGUGGUAUCUUCCACGAACAUCCUGCUCCAACUCGCCAGAAAGUGAUUUCUCAAGUCAAAUUAAAUAUUAAGUACCUACCUGUUUUAUAAUGUCAAUGUCAUGGUUAUUGCAUCAA
Planococcus citri (citrus mealybug) is the source of this 1148-nucleotide long non-coding RNA. RefSeq lists it as uncharacterized. The record is from RefSeq and is a predicted model, not a curated record. Lineage: Eukaryota; Metazoa; Arthropoda; Insecta; Hemiptera; Pseudococcidae. The transcript has 3 exons.